UAGUAGCAGCUUUAAUGGUGGUUGUAGCACUAGUGGUACUGUGGACAUGGCGGUUCGUGAAGUGGGUCUGGAUAAAACCGAAGAUGCUUGAGAAUUACCUGAGAAGACAGGGUCUUGCCGGAACCUCUUACACGCCUCUCGUCGGAGAUAUAAAGAGGAAUGUUGAUAUGAUGAUGGAGGCGAGAUCUAAACCCAUCAAGAUAACGGAUGAUAUCACCCCACGUCUCCUUCCUCUUGCCUUGAAGAUGUUCAAUUCUCACGGUAUAGUGUCUUUCUUCGCUUUCCUUUUUUGUUUCAGCAGAGUUUGGGAGUUGAAUAGUGUUUGAGUUAUGUUGAUGGAACAGGAAAGACUUUCUUCAUAUGGAUUGGACCAAUUCCAGCGAUCAUGAUAACGAAUCCUGAGCAGAUCAAGGAAGUCUUUAAUAAGAUCUAUGACUUUGAGAAGGCUGCUACAUUCCCUUUGUUCAGAUUGUUAGCAGGCGGGCUCGCGAGCUAUAAAGGAGAUAAAUGGGCGAGUCAUAGGAGGAUCAUCAACCCGGCUUUUCACCUCGAGAAGAUCAAGGUUUUUGUUUUUGGCUGUUGUCUACAUCCAGUUAGACUGUAUGUGUGUGUGAUCGUUUUACCAACCAUGUUUUCUUUGGUAUACAGAACAUGGUUCCUGCGUUCUACCACUGUUGCAGCGAGGUUGUCUGCCAAUGGGAGAGGCUAUUUACGGAUAAAGAAUCGUCGUCUCUUGAAGUCGAUGUUUGGCCUUGGCUUGUGAAUAUGACUGCGGAUGUAAUCUCGCAUACUGCUUUUGGAAGCAGCUAUAAAGAAGGGCAGAGGAUAUUUCAACUCCAAGGGGAAUUAGCUCAACUCAUUGCACAAGCUUUUAAGAAAUCUUACAUCCCUGGAUUGAGGUAAAACCAUUUGUCAUGUCAUAAACUAAACUUUGAAGAUUGUGAGCUUAUGAGAAGUUGUUGUCUGGUGUAGGUUUUACCCAACAAAGAACAAUAGAAGGAUGAAAGCAAUAGACAGAGAAAUAGAUGUAAUACUGAGAGGAAUUGUGAGCAAACGAGAGAAGGCGAGAGAAACUGGAGAAGUGUUGGAUGAUGAUUUAUUGGGGAUAUUGCUUGAAUCAAAUUCUGGGGAAUCUCAAGGAAAUGGAAUGAGCGUAGAAGAAGUGAUGAAAGAGUGCAAGUUGUUUUAUUUUGCGGGUCAAGAAACAACGUCAGUUAUGUUGGUCUGGACUAUGGUCUUAUUGAGCCAUCACCAAGACUGGCAAGCUCGCGCACGAGAGGAAGUAAGGCACAUACUUAGUGAUGAUAAUAAACCCGAUAUAGAUUCUCUCAGCAACCUCAAAGUCGUAAGUGAACAAAAAUCGCUACUUCCAUCAUCCUCUUGCAUCGGAAAACUGCAUAUAUAGUUACCAAAAUCACUUGAACUUCAAUUUAAAGUUUGCCGUUGAAUGGUUUUUCAACAGAUGACUAUGAUCUUCAAUGAGGUUUUGAGGCUAUACCCUCCGGUGGCUCAGCUUAAACGAGCUGUCAACAAAGAAAUAAAGCUAGGUGAGGUUACCAUUCCAGCUGGAGUUCAAGUUUAUAUUCCUACUAUUAUUGUCCAUCACGACACCGAGCUUUGGGGAGAUGAUGCAGCGGAUUUUAAGCCAGAGCGGUUCAGAGACGGGCUCUCAAAGGCAACAAAGAACCAGGUCUCUUUUUUUCCUUUCGGAUGGGGACCAAGGAUCUGCAUCGGUCAGAGUUUUGCUCUCUUGGAGGCAAAGAUGGCAAUGGCUUUGAUUCUUCAGAAAUUCUCCUUCGAGCUUUCUCCUUCCUAUGUUCACGCACCUCAAACAGUAAUGACCACACGUCCUCAAUUCGGAGCUCAUCUCAUCCUGCACAAGCUCUGAGCUUUGAAUUUCCAAGAUGACGUGAUCAAAAGUCACUGUUCUGUAAGAAAAAGAUGUCAUAGAAAGGCUUAUAUAGUCAUAGGUUUUGAAGGUUUCAAAUUUGUCUCUGAAAUUAGUCGCUAUUCGCUAAGGUUAAGGUCUUUUUCAGUCAAGUCUUAAGGUCGUUUUCCUUUGUGGCUGCAUUAUUAAUCUUGAAAAGUCUAUAUUAAGAAGCUAAUUUUAACUCUACCAUCUUCUAGAUAUGAUACGAUAUUCAGUGACUCAUCUCCAAUUUUCAUCAGUUUUCAAAGUUUUGCUGCUUUACUGUAAUGUUGGAGAAAGUUCCAAACUUUAGAGUAAGGGAAAUGUUGGAGAGUUAACUGUCCAAUCUCCCAUAAUCAUAACUCAAUAUGCUUUGGAUGCACACCAUCACUACACCAGCAAGCAACACUUCAUCCUCAGUCUCAGUCUGGUCUUUUGAACGGGUUCUUGAUGGUGCAUUGACCAUUCUUCACCUGCAAGGCUUCAACUACUUUUGCCGUCUGAGGAAGUGUUGCAGAAAGUACAUAGCUAUAGAAAUUUGGAGAGUUCAUUAUAUCUAAUCUUGCAAUUCCAUAAAUUUCUACGGAGACCUCUCGGCGUCUGACUGAUAGGUACAAACGCGCUUAUCCUUCACCCCAAAAAGAGUUGAGAGAGCAGUUCAAUUCAUCAUGCUCAGUGGAACACUUUUCAAGAUUUAUCCAUUAAAUAAAUUACAAGAAGACAAGAGCAGAUGGAAAACCCUCCUCACACGAAAAGUACAGACAAAGCCCCUUUUCCGGCAAAGGAUUUGCACUGUAAAUUGUAUAAUCGAAACUCCACUGAAAGAAAAAAAGUCUCAAUCUUUAUAAAGACCCACGAAAACUUGCGGACUCCAGAGUGAGUGUGAGAAUCGGAGAUGUCUUAUUCAGUAGUAGUAGCUUUAGUGGUGGUUGUAGCACUGUGUAUAUGGCGGAUCGUGAAGUGGUUCUGGAUAAAACCGAAGAUGCUUGAGAAUUACCUGAGAAGACAGGGUCUUGCCGGAACCUCUUACACGCCUCUCGUCGGAGAUAUAAAGAGGAAUGUUGAUAUGAUGAUGGAGGCGAGAUCUAAACCCAUCAAUAUAACGGAUGAUAUCACCCCACGUCUCCUUCCUCUUGCCUUGAAGAUGCUAAAUUCUCACGGUAUAGUGUGUCUUUCUUCGCUUUUCUGAUUCAAAGAGUGCUCUUUUUGUUUCAGUAGAGUUGGGAAUUGAGUUUGACUCUGUUAGGUUAAUUGUUGGUGCUUGAUUGAGUUAUGUUGUUGGUGGAACAGGAAAGACUUUCUUUAUAUGGAUUGGACCAAUUCCAACGAUUGUGAUAACAAAUCCUGAGCAGAUCAAGGAGAUCUUUAAUAAAGUUUACGACUUUGAGAAAGCUUCUACAUUUCCUUUGAUCAGAUUGUUAGCAGGCGGGCUCGCGAGUUACAAGGGUGAUAAAUGGGCCAGUCACAGGAGGAUCAUCAACCCGGCUUUUCACCUCGAAAAGAUCAAGGUUUUGGUUUUCUCUCUUGUCUGAAUCCAGUUAGACUCUGUGUAUAUGUGUGUGAUCGUUUAGUAACCUUUUUGUUUGGUUUACAGAACAUGAUCCCUGCCUUCUACCAUUGUUGCAGCGAGGUUGUCUGCCAAUGGGAGAAGCUAUUUACAGAUAAAGAAUCGCCUCUUGAAGUAGAUGUUUGGCCUUGGCUUGUGAAUAUGACUGCGGAUGUUAUCUCACAUACUGCUUUUGGAAGCAGCUAUAAAGAAGGGCAGAGAAUUUUCCAACUACAAGGGGAAUUGGCUGAGCUCAUCGCACAAGCUUUUAAGAAAUCUUACAUCCCUGGAUCGAGGUAAAACCACAACCUCCAUUUUCUUUGUCCUGUUGCAAACUAAAGAUUUUGAGAAUUUGUUGUUUAGUGUAGGUUUUACCCAACAAAGAGCAAUAGAAGGAUGAAAGCAAUAGAUAGAGAAGUAGACGUAAUACUGAGAGGUAUUGUGAGUAAACGGGAGAAAGCGAGAGAAGCUGGAGAACCAGCAAACGAUGAUUUGUUGGGGAUACUGCUUGAAUCAAUUUCAGAGGAAUCUCAAGGAAAUGGAAUGAGCGUAGAAGAAGUGAUGAAAGAAUGCAAGUUGUUUUAUUUUGCGGGACAAGAGACAACUUCAGUACUUUUGGUCUGGACUUUGGUUUUAUUAAGCCAUCACCAAGACUGGCAAGCUCGUGCACGAGAGGAAGUGAGGCAAGUACUCGGCGAAAAUAAUAAACCCGAUUUGGAGUCCCUUAACAACCUUAAAAUCGUAAGUGAAAAAAAACACAACUUUCACCAUCAUCUUCCAUCUAAAAAACUGCAUUUAUAGUUAACAAAGUCAGUUGAAUUUCAACUGAAAGGUUGUCUUUGAAUGGUUUUUCGACAGAUGACUAUGAUCUUCAAUGAGGUUUUGAGGCUAUACCCUCCGGUGGCUCAGCUUAAACGAGCUGUCAACAAAGAAAUGAAGCUAGGAGAGUUUACCCUUCCAGCUGGAAUUCAAAUUUAUUUACCAACCAUUCUUGUCCAGCGCGACACCGAGCUUUGGGGCGAUGAUGCAGCGGAUUUCAAACCCGAGCGGUUCAGAGACGGGCUCUCAAAGGCAACAAAGAACCAGGUCUCCUUCUUUCCCUUUGGGUGGGGACCAAGGAUUUGCAUCGGUCAGAAUUUUGCUAUGUUGGAGGCAAAGAUGGCAAUGGCUUUGAUUCUACAUAAAUUCUCCUUCGAGCUCUCUCCUUCUUAUGUUCACGCGCCUCAAACAGUCAUGACCACUCGUCCGCAAUUCGGAGCUCAUCUAAUCCUGCACAAGCUCUGAUUUUGUAUUUCCAUGGAGAUGUCAUCAGAAGACUCAAUUAUGUAACAAAAAUAUGUCAUAGAAAGGCUUGUAGCCGUAUGUUGUGAAAUUUACAAUUUCGUUGUCUGAAACUAGUAGCUAUUCUCUAAGGUAAAGGUCUUCUUCAGUCAAGCCUAAGGUCAUUUUCUAUUGUGGCUGCAUUAUUAAUCUUGAAAAGUCUAUACCAAGAAGCCAAUUUCAACUCUACCAUCUUUAGGAUGUGUUUUAGAUAAAGCCAAUCGUUUCUCAUGUCAUAGGCCAAUAGAGAGAGACAACCAAAGGACUUGAGGAAAACAUAAAGUAUUAUGGAUGAUCUAGAAAAUCGAGAACAUUCGUUGAAUUUUCCUCUGCUUCAAACUUUAAUGACUUGACGCAUACGUAAAAAUAACAUCAAUUUAUCUAUCUAUAUAUACAAAGCAUUUUCAUCUGGCAUCUGCAAUUCAGUUAAAAAAAAAAAAAAAAAGAAAAAAACAUCUAACGAAUUUCUCAAGGAAGUGAGUUUAUGAGUGAUACAAAGAUACCAGCGGUAGCAGUUGCGGCUGCGAUAGUGGUGGUAACUGCGGUUGCGGUAUGGAUAUGGAAGGCCUGAAUCUAGCUUGGUUUAAACCAAAGAAAUAUGAGGCUUAUCUAAAGAGACAAGGUCUCUCUGGAAGGAAGCCAGUAUGGUGGAGCAAGCAAAGUCCAGACCCAUCAGUCUAACAGAUGAUUACACGCCUCGUGUCAUGCCUCUGAUACUACAGACAGUUAAGGAUCAUGGUAAGAAGCGGUUGGAUUUGAACUAAAAACAGAGAUCCUCUGUUUCUUUUACUCUUGAUUGGUUAGUGUUAAAAUGCUCUGUUUCUAUGGUUUGGUUUUUGGAUCGCACGGUUCAUCUGGAUUACUGGAGGAUAUAGCCUCAAGACUUCAUAAAUAAUUAUUGCAUCUGUAAAAUACAUCAUACAACAACAUGAUCAAAACAAAAUUGAAGAAAAUGCAUCAGCUUGAAACUGUUUUGGUUUGGUUUAAUACUUACAACUUUGAGUUGGUUAAUGCCUUGUAGAUCAGGUUUGUUAUCGCCAAAAACUUGCACCACUUCCUCUCGUGCGCGAGCUUGCCAGUCUUGGUGUUGGCUUAACAAAACCAUAGUCCAAGCCAAAAGUACUGAAGUGGUCUCUUGUCCCGCGAAAUAAAACAACUUGCAAUCUUCCAUGAUUUCUUCAGUGUUCAGUCCAUUUCCUUUAGUUCUUCAGUGUUCAGUCCAUUUCCUUUAGUUUGCCCUGAAUUCGAUUCAAGAAGUAUACCUAACAAAUCGUCACUUGGUGCUAAUGAUCCCUCUUAGUAUAAAUUGGAUUUCCUUAACUAUUGUUUUCAUCCUUCUAUUAUUCUUAGUUGGGUUUUCAUCCUUCUAUUAUUCUUAGUUGGGAAAUGCCUACACAUACAAAAAUUGACAAAGAAGAAUAAAUUCAAAAUUCCAAGAAUAUAUAUAUAUAUACGUUUCCAAAACGUUUCCAUUCUUUAACUUUAGAAAAAACUCGUUUCCCGUUUCCGAAACGUUUCGUUUCCGCGUUUCCGUUUCCGUUUCCAUGCAACAUAGGUUGUAAAACAAUGAUUUUGAAUAUUUUGUCAAAACAAAAUAUUUCAACGUCGUGGUAAAGAAAAAAGAGUAAAACGCGUGGAAGGUACUGAUUGACAAAGAAACGUCAAAAAUUAGGCCUGGGCAUUCGGGUAUCCGUUCGGGUUCGGUUCUUUUUUUUCGGGUAUCGGGUCUAUUUGGGUAAGGGGUAGAGACCCAUUCGGAUAUUCUAAAAAUUCGGUUCGGGUUCGGGUAUUUUAAUAAAAAAGCAAAAUACCCGAAAAUAACCAAAUCUAACCGAAAUACCCGAUUUCUCAAAAAUACAUUGGUUUUUUACUCGUAUAUAUCCAAAUCUAACCGAAAUACCCGAUUUCUCAAAAAUACAUUGGUUACUCUUUGCCCAAAUUUAACCAAAUAUAUCCAAAUGUUUCCGAAUUACUCAAAAAUACCUAGUAUAUUCGGAUUUAUGAUUGUAAUUUUAGGUAUUUUGGAUAUUAUAAGUAUAAAUAUAACUACUAUUUUUAGGUGUAUAUUUGUAUUCGGGUACCCACGGGUAUUGGAUUCGGUUCGGGUUCGGUUCGAGUUUUUUUCGGGUAGAAGGUCUAGGAUCUAUUCAGGUAUUUUUAAAAAUCGGUUCGAGUUCGAUUCGAAUAUUUUUUCAGGUUUUUCGGUUCGGGUAUUCGGUUCCAGUUAUUUUGUCCAGGCCUAGUCAAAAAGUUGAAGACAUUCAUGACUAGGCCACCACUCUAGGCAUGUGACCGAUACAAUUCUUCAUCUUUUUGUCGCUUUUAACACAAGUCCAAUUCUUUUUCUUACGCCUUCGUGGCAUGUGACUGUGAAUUGUGAACCUCCAAGUAAAGUAAAUUAAAAGACCAAAUAGUCACUACAGCAUAUAAUUGCCCAAAACACAUAAUAUCAAGUAUUUAACCUUUAUAUUCCGAGAAUUAUUAGCAACUUAUCUACCUCUAUCUCGCUCUCUCUUUUCUCUACUCUCUGAGAGAGAAAAUGGAGAUAUCAGUUGCAUGGGUAACAGUUUCAGUAGCGUUAAAGUGGGUUUGGUUUAAGCCAAAGAUGCUAUUGUUUUGGUUUGGAGAGUUACCUGAGAAGACAAAGUCUUGGGACAAAAAAAAGAAAGAGUAAAACCCAUGAAUGGUAUUGGUAAAUGACAAAGAAACGUCACAGAGUUGAAGAUUUCGUCCCUUGCCCGCCACUCAAGAGAUGACUUGUAUAUAUGACUCUUAUGCUGACCAAUAUAUUUAUAUAUCGCCUCUUAUUUUUGUCUGCUUUUUUACACAAGUCCAAAUUUGCUUCUUGCGCGCUCGUGGCAUGGGAUUGUGUGGCACGCAAAAAAUAUCAAUUAAUCACUAGAAAAGAAUUGGUCUGAACACAAACACUAUGAAGUAAUUAUUUAAGACCUCAUGGAUGAUGUCAUCACCAUAUCCAUAUCUUUUCCACAAUUUUCAACCUUUUUAUAUCCCGACAAUUUUAGCAAAUUCUCUACCUCUCUCUCUUCUCUGGGAGAAAAAAUGGAGAUAUCGGUUGCAUCGGUAACCAUUUCAGUAGCUAUAGCUGUUGUGUCGUGGUGGAUAUGGAGAACUUUACAGUGGGUUUGGUUUAAGCCAAAGAUGCUUGAGAGUUACCUGAGAAGACAAGGUCUUGUCGGAACUCCUUACACGCCUCUUGUCGGCGAUUUAAAGAGGAAUUUCAGCAUGCUGGCUGAGGCAAGAUCCAAACCCAUCAAUCUAACAGAUGAUAUCACACCUCGUAUCGUGCCUUAUCCCUUGCAAAUGUUCAAGACUUACGGUAUGCUUCCUGGUUGACAUCUUGAUCCUCUCUGUUUAGUACUGUUGUAGCUUUCAACUUUUGUAUCUCAAUCUGGAUUGAAACAGGGAGAACUUUCUAUACAUGGCUUGGACCCAUACCAACAAUCACCAUAAUGGAUCCUGAGCAAAUCAAGGAAGUGUUCAACAAAGUUUAUGAUUUCCAGAAAUCACAUACGUUCCCUUUGGCCAGAUUAAUAGCCGCUGGACUCGUUAGUUAUGAUGGUGAUAAAUGGGCAAAACACCGAAGAAUCAUCAACCCAGCUUUCCACCUUGAGAAGAUCAAGGUUUAAAAUCUUUAUCUUCCAUAGUCCUGAAUCAGAUUAGAUUGCUUGAUGUAUAUAUGUUCAUUUGGCUCUGAGCCAGUUUGUGUUUUCUGCUUCUAUGUAAUAGAACAUGGUACCUGCGUUCCACAAGAGCUGCAGCGAGACCGUUGGCAAAUGGGACAAGUUGGUGUCGGAGAAAGGGUCGUCCUGUGUGGUGGACGUUUGGCCUGGGCUUGUGAGUAUGACUGCAGAUGUGAUCUCUCGUACUGCUUUUGGCAGCAGCUACGUAGAAGGGCAGAGGAUAUUUGAGCUCCAAGCGGAAAUAGCACAGCUCAUCAUACAAGCUUUUCGGAAAGCUUUCAUCCCUGGAUAUCGGUAAUAAGAAUCUCAACUUGUCUGCUUUUAGAACAAGGCCUUUUAGAGCUUGAGUAGUGCCGCAAUCUAUUAGAUAUUUUGAUCCAUGUUGUGUUAUAUUCUCUCUGUCGUCUGUUCAUGCAGUUAUCUCCCUACGAAGGGUAACAGAAGGAUGAAAGCAGCAGCUAGAGAAAUCCAAGUUAUACUGAGAGAGAUAGUUACCAAAAGGCUUAAAGCAGCAGCUAGAGAAAUCCAAGUUAUACUGAGAGGAGCUGGGUAUACUUCUUGAAUCGAAUUUGGGACAAACGAAAGGAAAUGGAAUGAGUAUUGAGGAUGUGAUGGAGGAGUGCAAAUUGGAAUGAGUACCGAGGAUGUGAUGGAAGAAUGCAAGUUGUUCUAUUUCGCUGGCCAAGAGACAACAUCAGUACUUCUGGUUUGGACGAUGGUUCUGUUAAGCCAACACCAAGAUUGGCAAGCUCACGCACGAGAAGAAGUGAGGCAAGUUUUUGGCGAUAAAGAACCUGAUACAGAAGGCCUUAACCAACUCAAAGUUGUAAGUAUAAACCAAAACAAAAACUUUUUAAAGUGACUUCACUACUUUUGUUGCAUUUUGAUGAUUUAAGAUGAAUGAUUUGAUCCCUCACAGAUGAGGAUGAUAUUAUAUGAGGUCCUUAGGCUAUAUCCUCCAGUAGCCCAGCUGACCCGAGAAAUCCACAAAGAGAUGAAGCUCGGAGAUGUGACAUUACCCGGCGGUGUUCAGAUCAGUCUACCUAUCAUGCUAGUCCAACGCGACACAGAGCUGUGGGGUAACGAUGCAGGGGAGUUCAAGCCAGAGAGAUUCAAAGAAGGUCUCUCAAAGGCAACAAAGAACCAAGUCUCUUUCUUUCCCUUUGCGUGGGGACCAAGGAUUUGCAUUGGCCAGAAUUUCGCAUUACUUGAGGCAAAGAUGGCAAUGACUUUGAUUCUACAGAGAUUCUCCUUCGAGCUUUCUCCUUCCUAUGUUCACACGCCUUUCACAAUCGCCACCAUUCACCCACAGUUCGGUGCUCCUCUUAUGCUGCACAAGCUCUAAUCACAUAACCCAUGUGCUGUUAUCAAAUAAACUCGUCUUUUUUACGUAAAAUCCGAGAUUAAAAAAAAAAAUUGAAAUGAAUAAUACAGUCUCUCUCACCACAGAAGAAACUAAAUUAAACACUACAGAGCUUAAAUAUCAAAGGAAUGAAGGGAUGAGAUAUGUAAUGUGACGUUUUCUUUUUUACUGAAGUAAAAUAUUAUAACAACCAGUUUAAGAUAGGGUUUGUGGUAUGUUAGAGCACUUUGUGAGUUAUUAUGAGCAUAUGGGGCACAUAUGAGGGAGUGGGCACUUUUUUGGAGUUUUUUCACUGUGCAACAAAAAAUAAUACCAUUAUACCCUUACUACACGUGGACAGUUAACCAAACUAUGGUUAACUUGUUUAAUCUCAGCCGUUGGAUGUCCAGGAGAAAGAAAUGAUCUAACGGUUUGUUAUUACUGAAAGAUGAGACAAUGGAAUUGUGUGGAUAUUGCCGACAAAAAAGAUCUAAUGGUUGUGGGUGAGCACGGUAUUCGGAGUGGAGUUUGGUUGUAAAGAGAGAUAACUGAAGGUAGUGGAUUAUAAGAAAAGAGGAUUAUAAGUUCUAAAUCAAGGAUAAAUAUAUUUUUCAUUGUAUAACAAAUUAUAAUUAUUUUUUCUUUACAUUUGAAGAUCCAUUUUACUAUAGUUUAUAAAUAUAAUCAUAUAACAUAUAAAUAUUUUUAAAAGAUAAAAUAUAAAUUAUCCACAUAAUCUUGAACACACGACAAUUUCUUAUAAUUUUACAUAAAAAUUGACAACACAAUCAUUUAAAAUUACCGUCCAUACAAGCACAUCCACCAAACUCUAACCACAUGGUCAUUUCAAUUCAUGUCUAAUUUAUUUCUUCACUCUUAACGAAAAGUAUGUAGCCAUAAACCCUAGAAUCAUUGUAGAAAAUCAUGGUUCUUUAACCAAAAUACCCUAAACCUACACUAUAUAAAAUUUACCCUACACACUAAACCCUAAACCUUCUAUACUAAACCCAAGCACCUAAACCUAAACCCUAAACCCUAAACUCAAAACCCUUAAAUUUAAAACCUAAACCAUAGAGAUUUAACCCUUAACCCUUAACCUUAUACCUAAACCUAAUUCCAUAACCUCUAAACCUAAACCACAAACCCUAAACCCUUGAUACUAAACCCUAAAGCAUAAACGAUAAACUCUAUACCCUAAACACUCUACCGAAAAGAACAAAACCCUAUACUCUAAACAAUAAAUACUAAACCCUAAAUAGUAAAUCCUAAACCCUAAAUACUAAACACGAAAUCCUAUACCUUACACCCUAAACAUUAUACCAUAACCUCCAACCCUAAACCCUAAACAUUAAUACUAAAUACAAAACCCUAAUUACUAGACACUAAACCCUAAAUACUAUACCCUAAAUAGUAAAUGCUAAACCCUAAAAACUAAACACAAAACCCUUUACCCUAAACACUUAACACUAUACCGAUAAGAACAAAACCCUAAACCCUAAACAAUAAACACUAAACCCUAAACAGUAAACAUUAAACCCUAACUAAACACGAAAUACUAUACCCUAAACAUAAAUACUAAAUACUAAAACCUAAUUAUUAAACCCUAACCUCUAAAUACUAUAUACCCUAUCCAUCAUAACUUAGCCACGUGGUCGAUAUAAAUUAAACUCUAAACCAUAAACAAUAAACCCAAUAAGCUUAACCCUUACCUUACCAUCAAAAUAUUGCUACAGGGUUGGAUAAAAACUCUUUCCAUGUAAACCUAACCACGUGAUUCCAUAUACGCUCAAAUUCUAAGACUAUACUAUACCCAUAAGAAUGAAACCCUAAACACUAAACAAUAAAAACUAUACCCUAAACAGUAAAUACUAAACCCUAAAUACUCAAUAAACCGUAAACUCUAAACAUAAAUAAUAAAUACUAAACAAUAAUUAAUGCAUCCUAAACCCUAAAUAGUAAACAUAUCCAUCAUAACAUAGCCACGGGGCUGAUAUACAGUAAACCCUAAACCAUAAACAAUAAACCCUAAACAUCUAAAGUCAAAACUCUCAACUCUAAACCAUUGAGACUAAACCAUUAACCCUAAACCAUAUAACUAAACCCUAUACCAUAAACCCUAAACCCUAAAGCAUAAGACUAAACUCUUAACCCUUAAGCAUAUAACUAUACCCUAUACCUAAACCCUAAAUCCUAAACUCUAAACCCUUAACUCUAAAUUCUAAACCCUAAUCUAAACCCUAAACAUGAAAUCCAAAACUAUAACCCUAAACCCUAGAAUAAAACCUCUAACUUUUAUCCCCUCAACCUUAAACCGUAACUUUUAUAGAUAUAACAUCAAUAACCACCACUUUGGAUCCAUAAUAAUCUAAAACAUGUUUCUUAAUCUGAAAACGUAUAACAUUAUUGAGAUCGAUCUGUUCAUACACAAUCAUACAAUAUACACUCGUAUUGUUGUUUUGUUAUAUGUAAUCGUAGAUAUAUAAAUAUGGAGAUUUCUAUGGAAUAACUUUUCUGGAUAUGACCACUAGAACUUGUUUCAUCAUAUUUUAUCACGAUCUUUUAUAUAACAUAACACUUAUUUUGUGGACAACAUUAUACAAAAAUCACAUUAGAUUCGUAACAUAACAAAAUAUUGGCUUUCAUAAUGUUUUCUCUAUACAUAAAUCAUUCAUAAAUUCAUAAUGCAUAAUACAUCAUCCAUUAUGCGUCAUCCAUAAUGUGGCAUCCAUAAUAUGUCAUACACAAUAGUCAACAAUAAUAGUGGUGACUGAUAGAGAUAUGUGUAGGAAGUCAUUGACACAAAUAUAUUUUUAAAGGAAAAAAUAUAAACUAUCCACAUAAUCUUGAUAACAUGACGGUCUUGUUUUUAAUUUUACAUCAAAAUUUACAAUGUAAUCAUUUCAAAUUAUCGACCAUCUAUGCACAUCCACCAAAUUCUGACCACGUGGUCAUUUCAAUCCAGGUCUAAUUUAUUUCUCACUCUCAAAAAACAUAUUUUCACCUCUACCGAAACUUCAGACAAAGUAGGGAAAAUUAGCCACUUUUCUUCUCAUGAAGCUUCUUCUUCUUGUACGAUUUAAUCUAGGAUUCAUGAUUUCAACAAAACCUCUUUCCUUAUAUCAUUGAUAAAUGAAACCCCAAGCUGUCAUAGAAAUUGGUUUUCACAUAUAUCUUUAUUAAUUAUACAGUAAAAUCUAAAAUUAAGUAGUAUCAAUUAAAAGAAGAAGAAGAUAAAAUAUUUGAAUCUGUUUGGGUGAGACUCAAACAAGACGAGACUUUGAGCAUUCGUUUAUGUCGUCCAUGGAGAUUUAAAUGAGUAAGACGACGUUGCUCUGGGAUUUGGGAAGCUUCUUGAGGAUAUUAAGGAGAAGAAAAUUGGGUUUCUGAAAUUCAAAUCACAGAUCUGAUGGAUAUGAAUCUAAGACGAAGUGUAGAUAAAUCAAUGCGAAAAGUAAAAGAUAUGAUUAUGAAAGACCAUGAAAAUUGAAAUUCAUUGAGGAGUCGUCUCUCUCGAAUUCCGACAGCAAAUUAAUUCAUCACAGAUCACUAUUACUAUCCUUGGUACAAGGUGAGAGUAAAAGACGAAGAAGAGAGAUGGAAGAAAAAAUAAGUAAUAAGAGAGAUAGAGAUAACGAAGAAGAGAGAGAGAUAAAGGAUGUUUGGGUAGUGAGAGAUAAAUGAUGUUUGGGUGAGAUGAAGAGAAAGAUAAAUAAAUGAAGAAGAGAGAUAUAGAUGAGACGAAGGAGAGAGAAAGAGGAAUGAUAUUUGGAUAAAGAGAAAGUAAAUAUUGGGACCAUGGUUAGUUAGGAUGAGUUGAGGGUGUUAUGGUAAAAAAACUUAAAAAUGUGACCACUACCCCUAAUGUGUUCCAGAGGGAGAUUGAGUUUCAAUAAAAUGUCCCAUAGAGUAAUAUUUCCUUUAAGAUACAGAACAAAAACAAAGGUAACAGAGAUAUGUAACGUUUAUUUUUUUAUUUUAUGUCGACACAACAAAAUACUUCAAUGUUUAGGUAAAAAAAAAAAAAAAGGGUAAAACCCAUGGAUUGGAUGGUAUUGGUAAAAAUGACAAAGAAACGUCACAAAGUUGAAGACGUUCGUCCCUUGCCCGCCACUCAAGUGAUGACUUAUAUAUGAGUCUUAUGACCAAUAAUAUACAUAUAUCUCCUCCUAUUUUUGUCAAACAAGUCCAAAUUUGCUUCUUGCUACGCCUUCGUGGCACGCAAAAUAUCAACAACACAAAAGAAUUGUCUGAACACAAACACUAUCAAGUAUUUAAGACAUCAGCGGUGAUGUCAUCACCACAUCCAUAUCUUUUCCAAAAUUUGCAACCUUUAUAUCCCGACAAUUUUUAGCAAAUUCUCUACCUCUUUCUCUUCUCUCUCUUCUGUGGGAGAAAAAAUGGAGAUAUCGCUUGCAUCGGUAACCAUUUCAGUAGCUAUAGCUGUUGUGUCGUGGUGGAUAUGGAGAACUUUACAGUGGGUUUGGUUUAAACCAAAGAUGCUUGAGAGUUACCUGAGAAGACAAGGUCUUGCCGGAACUCCUUACACACCUCUUGUCGGCGAUUUAAAGAGGAAUUUCAGCAUGCUGGCUGAGGCAAGAGCCAAACCCCUCAAACUAACGGAUGACAUCACAACACGUGUCGUGCCUUAUCCCUUGCAAAUGUUCAAGACUUACGGUACGCUUCCUGGUUGGCAUCUCUUGAUUCUUUAGAACUGUUGCAGAGUAUCUGUUCUAGAGAAAAAGGUUUCAACCUUUGUAUUUUUAUUAUAUCGUUGGAACGGAACAGG
This 14604-nucleotide long non-coding RNA is filed under the name Arabidopsis lyrata. Its description in RNAcentral is "long non-coding RNA (ALYR_LNC002299)". Lineage: Eukaryota; Viridiplantae; Streptophyta; Magnoliopsida; Brassicales; Brassicaceae. The record is from RNAcentral.